Molecule: long non-coding RNA, 677 nt
Filed under: Ananas comosus (pineapple)
Lineage: Eukaryota; Viridiplantae; Streptophyta; Magnoliopsida; Poales; Bromeliaceae
Description: long non-coding RNA (ACOM_LNC040221)
Source: RNAcentral
CUUCAUAUGAUAUUCUCAAAAUUCUAGAUCAAAAUCACUUUCCUCUUCCUUCAUCACUUUCCUCUCUUUUGAUCAAAAUUAUUUCUCAAAAUUCUAGAUGUCCAUUUUAAUUUCUAUUCCAAUAAUGAACCAAAUAUUUUUUGUAUGAUUCGUCAUUCUAUUUUUCAUUCGAAUACAAUUCAAUUCUAUUUUUCAUUCUUAUUCCAAUUAUGAGCCAAACAUUCUGUAAGAAUUUGUUUGAUUGUAUGUAGUUACAACUACAUGCAUUUGUAACUACAUAUGAUCCAAAUCCGGUAUUUGAUUUGAUCCAUUUGUAUUCAAUUAUUUAAAUUGAACCUGCAUGGAAAGGACCAAUUGCAGUCCUUACAAUUACGCUCAAAUUGGUCAUAAUUCCAACUACAAUAGCUGAAGAGAGUAACUUUAAAUAAAAAAUAAACAUAAUUUUCUGAUGACUCUUAUAUAAAGUAAUAAAAUUUCAAAAAUACAAUUAUCAACUACAUGCAACCACACAAAUUAUUUACAAUUGCAAUAUUUUUUAUUAUAUUAACCAAACAAAAUAUAUAUAGUUGUACCUACUAUAUUUUCAACUAUAUGCAGCUUCAAUUAUAGUACAUUUUUUAUUACAUUCAAUCAAAAGGCCACUAAAUAUUGUCGCUAAUAUUUUUGAAAUGUUAUCC